This 768-nucleotide ribosomal RNA is filed under the name Bacterium SBOSD. RNAcentral describes it as "bacterial SSU rRNA". It matches the Rfam family "Bacterial small subunit ribosomal RNA", at positions 143 to 928 of the family's 1533-position model. The record is from RNAcentral.
AAACGGGGUACCUAUUACCCGCGAUAAUACUUUCUCUCUCAUGGAGGGAAGGUUAAAAGCUCCGGCGGUGAAGGAUGAGCCCGCGGCCUAUCAGCUAGUUGGUGGGGUAAUGGCCUACCAAGGCGACGACGGGUAGCCGGCCUGAGAGGGCGACCGGCCACACUGGGACUGAGACACGGCCCAGACUCCUACGGGAGGCAGCAGUGGGGAAUAUUGCACAAUGGGCGAAAGCCUGAUGCAGCGACGCCGCGUGAGGGAUGACGGCCUUCGGGUUGUAAACCUCUUUCAGCAGGGAAGAAGCGAAAGUGACGGUACCUGCAGAAGAAGCGCCGGCUAACUACGUGCCAGCAGCCGCGGUAAUACGUAGGGCGCAAGCGUUGUCCGGAAUUAUUGGGCGUAAAGAGCUCGUAGGCGGCUUGUUGCGUCGGUUGUGAAAGCCCGGGGCUUAACCCCGGGUCUGCAGUCGAUACGGGCAGGCUAGAGUGUGGUAGGGGAGAUCGGAAUUCCUGGUGUAGCGGUGAAAUGCGCAGAUAUCAGGAGGAACACCGGUGGCGAAGGCGGAUCUCUGGGCCAUUACUGACGCUGAGGAGCGAAAGCGUGGGGAGCGAACAGGAUUAGAUACCCUGGUAGUCCACGCCGUAAACGUUGGGAACUAGGUGUUGGCGACAUUCCACGUCGUCGGUGCCGCAGCUAACGCAUUAAGUUCCCCGCCUGGGGAGUACGGCCGCAAGGCUAAAACUCAAAGGAAUUGACGGGGGGCCCGCACAA